GGCCGCUGACGUCAUGUCGCCGAGUCUCUGCUGCCCAGUGGUGGCGGGGAGGGGGUCCUGUUUCCGAAGCGCCACAGCCAGCACUGUCGGUGGCUUCAGGGCUCCGGAAGAGGUGGUAUCCGUCGGCCCAGAGUCCCCUCUGUGUCGAGCCACGGGCCUUCGGUUCUCCCUCGUCGGCGCCCGCCCGCCUCCCUGCCCGCCCUGCCCCGGCUCGGGUCCAGGUCCGGCUGCCCCAUACAUUUAACUCUGAUUUUUUUCCCCCGCUGGAAAACCCUCUUUGCUGAGAUCCCAGCAGCCACACCAUUAGCUCCGGACAGGAAGGUGUGGUGCCGCCUGGAAAGAAUUUGCGUCUGAGAAUUGUUCUCCGCGGACCAGAGACCAUUGCAAAGGUCUGCGAGAGUCACCCUGUCUCAUCAGGCCGUCGUGAGGCAGUGGGUGCUUCCAUUUUUCCGGGGUUCCUUCGUCUGGGUGAUGGGGUGGGGGCGCUGAGGCCUCCUCCCCGCUCCCUCAGCAGGCACCGGCGUGGAGCUGUCUGGCUGCAGGAGGACAAGAGGGCGCUCUGUCUAGGGCUGAGUGGAGGCCCCAGGAAGAUGAGACCGAGCCCGGGGUCCGUGCCUGCUUCUCAGCUUCCAGCCAGCGUCUUUUCUAAGUGCAGACCAGGCGAUUGCAGACUUGCUUUUCCAGGCAGGCUCUAGGGGCACCUGUGAUCCAAGAAUCUCUUGUUAGUUUUAGACCCGAGUCAAGCUGUGUGUCAGAGUCCAGUCGGGGAACAGAAGCCAUCCCAGACAAAUAGGUUUGAUGAUCGACCCCUACGAUGUCAGACUGGCUGCCUGGGACAGGAGGCUUAUGGAGUUCCUGCACAGUAGGAUGGCGGCAUUCCUGCCUAUCAAUCCACAGAAAGGUCUGCGGAGUCUUGCAGGCUGGAGGUCUCUGGGGCUACUUGGCUAAGCUGGGAUGGCAAACGGGGGAGCUGACUCCCUCUUGUGGACACGUGCGGUUCUGCAGGAGGGCAGUGGGACCUGCCCUUGGUGGGAGUUGGCCGGCCCACCUUGAAUUUCAGGAGUAAGGGGGAGUUGGCUGGGAAAGGUCAGUCUGAUCCUCUGAUGUGGAUAAGGAGUCACUGGUUUAUAGUGAUGAUGCUUUUCUUCAAAAGAGAUGAAAGUCUUGUCCCUGAGAUCCAGACCCUCUGUGCGAGGAACCCAAAGGCCUGUUUGGCCAGCGACAGAGACGCAAAGCUAAAAGACAAGCCUGUCUCACCAAGACAUCUGUUUUGGGCCUUGGAAUGUCCUUUAAAGUG
Mustela erminea (ermine) is the source of this 1297-nucleotide long non-coding RNA. RefSeq lists it as uncharacterized. The record is from RefSeq and is a predicted model, not a curated record. The transcript has 3 exons. NCBI's taxonomy places the organism in Eukaryota, Metazoa, Chordata, Mammalia, Carnivora, Mustelidae.